CGGCACGGCACCGACUUCCGAUUUCAUCGUCGAUGCUGCCGUGCCACGCCGGUAUCGUGGCCUGUACCGGCAUUCCCCGCGGUCCCAGCAAUUCGCCUCUAAAUCUUCGUUCAGAUUAGUCGAAUUACUUAAAUUCAAACGGCUUGAGUUUAUGUUUAUACGAGUCGAAUUAUUCAACUCGAGGACGUUGACAGGAAGGAAUCUGGGUUUAGGUAAACGACUGGAAUAUUUUGUAGGUUGAUACAUCUCUCUGUACUUUAUAGCUACGGUGGUAGUAUGAAGUGAUAAAAACAGGACAAAG
This 301-nucleotide unclassified non-coding RNA is filed under the name Bombus terrestris (buff-tailed bumblebee). Its description in RNAcentral is "misc RNA ENSBTSG00005021645.1". Lineage: Eukaryota; Metazoa; Arthropoda; Insecta; Hymenoptera; Apidae. The record is from RNAcentral.